UGCAGAUUGGCAAUCCCUCAAUUCUGGGAGGCCUCAUCACCACUUAAAAAGGGACGGUCAACAUAAUCGUAUUGGCUGGCCCCCCUGCGGGAGAGGCAUGUCAUGCAGCAAAAUAAUUCUGCUGAUGCUGCUUGAAUCAUUUCCCCAAACAGAGUGAGCUGCAGCGACAGCCACCCUUCUUUGCCAGUGUACCGCCACGUACUACUUAAGCCUUUGCUAGCCAAGCCAUGUUGGUUCAGGCGGGGAAACAGACUGCCUGGAGGCUUCUCGGUAAUGCAGGCGUGCUGAAAGUUGGUGCCCCAGGGAGAGAAGGCAGAGCUGGACAAAACGUGGACCCUUUUUGCCACGCGAGUCAGGGAUGUCGGGUUCAUCCUGAAGAAAUGGCCAGAUUCCCCAGGUUUGGCUGUCAGUUCGGCUCUGCGUCCGUCGCUUCACAGUGUGCCUCCCGCCGAGGGCAGCGGUGGGGGAAGACAGAAGCCGGAAGCCCCAUCUGUACACUGCUUUUCUGCUGGUUGAGAAAAAGAUUACAGCAUUUUGAGGGGGAAGGGAGCAGUUUUCCUCUGCAACAAUUAUAAUAUAAUUCAGUGGGGCACACAGAAAGUAAAACGUUCCCGGUUCCAGUUCCAAGAAGCGUAGCUGUGACGGCCACGUCUUUCAUUUCUCAAAGGAGCAGGGGCGAGCUGCCCCUCCUCGCGGAUUUGCACAGUGAUCGUAGUAUGACACGCAACGCAUCCAUCUCUCCUGUGAACUAUGUAAAACCAUCUCUUCCUCGCUAACAAAUACCCGUUUUUUUCAACGCAUAAGUGAAAACAAAACAACAACAACGAGAGGAACUGAAAUGUGGAUGCAAUUACAUCUUUUUAAAGCUAUUAGUUCUAGCUGAGAGCUUGUCAAGCUUGGAACCAAAACUGGCUAUAGCUUUUUUUCAGUAAUACUAUGAACGCCGGGGUUGUGCAGCCUCACAGAGAAACCAGCUCUGUAAAGCAUCUCUAGUACUCGAAGCGCAACUCAGUAACAAGUCCAUCGUGGUAACGAGUUUCAGGACCCAGCAAAACAGCAGGGUCCCUGUGCCCGUCCUGGGAGCUGCCUGCGCGCCCAGGGGUGACCCUGAAGCUGUCUCCUGUGGUGCAGACAGACAUGAGCCUGGGAGUUAGCUGGAAGUGUGAUUCGCCCCCCCAGCUCUACCACAGGCUGCGAACUUCACACGGAGGGCGCCAAGAGGCGGCAGGGGAUUUGCUCCUUCUCCUUCACUUCAAUAUUAAGCGAGGCUUUGGCCAGUGUGUAGCAUGCCUUGUUUCUGCUCCAGGGGCAGCAGUCCUUUAAACCAUAAAGUGCCUUACAUGAGCCUGUGCAUGAGAGUGAGUUUUGCCCUACGGUGCAUUCAAGUACUAUUAUGAAUCAUAUUUGAGAGUAAUAAAUGGUAUUGUGUAUAGGUCUACA
RNAcentral lists this long non-coding RNA (1440 nucleotides) under Struthio camelus australis. RNAcentral's name for it is "lncRNA (ENSSCUG00000010392.1)". The record is from RNAcentral. Lineage: Eukaryota; Metazoa; Chordata; Aves; Struthioniformes; Struthionidae.